Molecule: ribosomal RNA, 497 nt
Filed under: uncultured bacterium
Lineage: Bacteria
Description: partial 16S ribosomal RNA
Rfam family: Bacterial small subunit ribosomal RNA
Source: RNAcentral
GAUGAACGCUGGCGGCGUGCCUAAUACAUGCAAGUCGAGCGAACAGACGAGGAGCUUGCUCCUCUGACGUUAGCGGCGGACGGGUGAGUAACACGUGGAUAACCUACCUAUAAGACUGGGAUAACUUCGGGAAACCGGAGCUAAUACCGGAUAAUAUAUUGAACCGCAUGGUUCAAUAGUGAAAGACGGUUUUGCUGUCACUUAUAGAUGGAUCCGCGCCGCAUUAGCUAGUUGGUAAGGUAACGGCUUACCAAGGCAACGAUGCGUAGCCGACCUGAGAGGGUGAUCGGCCACACUGGAACUGAGACACGGUCCAGACUCCUAUGGGAGGCAGCAGUAGGGAAUCUUCCGCAAUGGGCGAAAGCCUGACGGAGCAACGCCGCGUGAGUGAUGAAGGUCUUCGGAUCGUAAAACUCUGUUAUUAGGGAAGAACAAAUGUGUAAGUAACUAUGCACGUCUUGACGGUACCUAAUCAGAAAGCCACGGCUAACUACGUG